GGGAACCGCUAGCCAGUCCUGGGUGAAACUGACGCUGCCAGGCAAGUGGCGCGCGGGGAUCCCGGUUUCCCAGCCCCCUUCCGGCAGGCAGCAGCCCGGGCGGGGGACACACUCCGUGAUCCCCUCCUGGCUGGAGGGGUCAGGCUUGGUGGACCCAGCAAGCAGCCUGAUGGAGAAGGUGGCACCAGACGCAGACCCCUACCGUCCAGGACCGCAAGCCCUCGCCGGCUCUGCGUGCUUUUAGGUUUUGUCUCCACCUCUGCACACCCACACUCGCCUCCUGGGCCGCGACAGCUUCCUUCUGUCAAUCAGGUGUGGACGGGAAGGUCUCGAAGUUUCCUCGCCUGAGUUGAAAGCUGGAGGUGGGGGCACCUCUGCCCGUUCCUAACUGCCCCGUUAUAAGGUCCCCCUCCCCACAAUUGGUUCUCACCUCGCCCUCGGAGCUCUUGGGAGAUCCCUCCGUCCCUCCUACUGUGCCCUCGGGCAGAUGAGUCUGGUCCCAGCUUCUGGACUGCCCACUGUCGGCCACUUGAGAGUUGGGGACGGUGGGGCAUUGUGACGCUCUCCAACCUUGGAACACGGUGGCAAAGUGGCCGAUCAAUAUAUGGGACAAGUGGGGGCGGGGGGGCGGACUCUAAGGUGGAAAAAACAAUACUACUUGGGAUUUAAGGAAGCAAUCUGGAUUCUGUCUCCCCUUGGUUCUUCGGAGCUUAGAGGUCUAACGGCGACAUUCCUCCUACAGUAAGGGCUCUUCUGGGUCCCUCGUUUCCAAAGGCAUGAAAGUUCUGACCUGAAAAUGGGGGCCGGGGAGGGUGAUGUCACAACCAUAUAACGCAGCUCCUUCAGCCGACUCCCACCCGCAAGAACUGAGACCUGACGGAUAAAAGCAGAGAGGAGUCAGAGUGAGCGCUGCGUUUGGGAAACUGCAUUCCAGGGCAGCAAGACUGGUGCCAAGACGGAGUCGUGGCAAAAGCAUCCGGAGGUAGACGAGGCGCCCCUCCACUGCAGGGACCUUUGUUCCCCGCGCCUUCCCUCCUGCCUCACCCGAGCGCCUGCGGGUCCCGGGAGCUCGCCACCAGGCGGCGACGGAGAACAGGAUGCGGCGCAGCUGGAAGGCAGAGGGUGGAGAGGGGGCGGGUGUCCGUCCGAUUUAACGCUCCAAGCACGGAGUUUCCAGCUGGUUGGGCUAAGUCUGGGAGGAGCAGUUUUUGCGGUGGAGGACUUGCCUUGCGUUGUAACAUUUUAAUCCACUUGCAGCCUCCUGCCUAGAGAAUCUAUAGAGGCGGGUCUUCCUUAAUAUAUGUCAGCAGUGGAGUGGUGUGCUUAAGGAGAGAGAGACUUGGAAAAAUACAGACCGAGAACAAGGCCAUGUGGAGAUAGAGGCAGAGACUGAAGUUGUACCACCAAAGGCAAAGAAUAUCAAGUAUUAUCAGUAACCACAGGAAGCUGGAAGAGGCCAGGAAAGGUUUUUCUUAGAGACCUUGGAAGGAGCCUGACCCUGGAACACCUUGAUUUUAGACUUCUGACCCUCAAAAUUGUGAAAGAAUAAAUUUCUGUUGUUUUAAGCAA
Molecule: non-coding RNA, 1569 nt
Organism: Homo sapiens (human)
Lineage: Eukaryota; Metazoa; Chordata; Mammalia; Primates; Hominidae
Source: RefSeq, a predicted model, not a curated record